Molecule: ribosomal RNA, 90 nt
Filed under: Escherichia coli
Lineage: Bacteria; Pseudomonadati; Pseudomonadota; Gammaproteobacteria; Enterobacterales; Enterobacteriaceae
Description: partial 23S ribosomal RNA
Rfam family: Bacterial large subunit ribosomal RNA
Source: RNAcentral
CGUUGAAGAAGAAGACGUUGAUAGGCCGGGUGUGUAAGCGCAGCGAUGCGUUGAGCUAACCGGUACUAAUGAACCGUGAGGCUUAACCUU